RNAcentral lists this transfer RNA (65 nucleotides) under Bostrichoidea sp. KM-2015. RNAcentral describes it as "tRNA-Glu". It matches the Rfam family "tRNA". Rfam says of the family: Transfer RNA (tRNA) molecules are approximately 80 nucleotides in length. Their secondary structure includes four short double-helical elements and three loops (D, anti-codon, and T loops). Further hydrogen bonds mediate the characteristic L-shaped molecular structure. tRNAs have two regions of fundamental functional importance: the anti-codon, which is responsible for specific mRNA codon recognition, and the 3' end, to which the tRNAs corresponding amino acid is attached (by aminoacyl-tRNA synthetases). tRNAs cope with the degeneracy of the genetic code in two manners: having more than one tRNA (with a specific anti-codon) for a particular amino acid; and 'wobble' base-pairing, i.e. permitting non-standard base-pairing at the 3rd anti-codon position. Lineage: Eukaryota; Metazoa; Arthropoda; Insecta; Coleoptera. RNAcentral also lists the same sequence under 1 other name. The record is from RNAcentral.
AUUUAUAUAGUUUAUCCUUAAAACAUUACAUUUUCACUGUAAAAAUAAAUCAAAUUUUAUAAAUG